CAGCCGUAAACUAUGCGCGUUAGGUGUACUGGUGACCACGAGUCACCGGGUGCCGAAGGGAAACCGUGAAACGUGCCGCCUGGGAAGUACGGUCGCAAGGCUGAAACUUAAAGGAAUUGGCGGGGGGAGCACCACAACAGGUGGAGCCUGCGGUUUAAUUGGACUCAACGCCGGGAAGCUCACCGGAUAGGACAGCAGAAUGAUUGCCGGGCUGAAGACCCUGCAUGACUAGCUGAGAGGAGGUGCAUGGCGUCAGUGACU
RNAcentral lists this ribosomal RNA (261 nucleotides) under uncultured archaeon. RNAcentral describes it as "partial 16S ribosomal RNA". It matches the Rfam family "Archaeal small subunit ribosomal RNA", at positions 748 to 1008 of the family's 1478-position model. The record is from RNAcentral.